RNAcentral lists this ribosomal RNA (441 nucleotides) under uncultured bacterium. RNAcentral describes it as "partial 16S ribosomal RNA". It matches the Rfam family "Bacterial small subunit ribosomal RNA", at positions 28 to 507 of the family's 1533-position model. The record is from RNAcentral.
GAUGAACGCUGGCGGCGUGCCUAAUACAUGCAAGUCGAACGGGGAGUAGCAAUACUCUUAGUGGCGAACGGGUGAGUAACGCGUUGGUACCUGCCCCGAAGCGGGGGAUAACGGACCGAAAGGUCCGCUAAUACCCCAUGUGCUCGGUAACGAGUAAAGGUGAAAACCACUUUGGGAGGGGCAUGCGUCCCAUCAGCUAGUUGGUAAGGUAACGGCUUACCAAGGCGAUGACGGGUAGGGGACCUGAGAGGAUGGCCCCCCACAAUGGAACUGAAACACGGUCCAUACACCUACGGGUGGCAGCAGUAGGGAAUAUUGGUAAUGGGCGCAAGCCUGAACCAGCAACGCCGCGUGUGCGAUGACGGCCUUCGGGUUGUAAAGCACUUUUGACUGGGACGAGGAAGGACGGUACCGGUCGAAUCAGCCUCGGCUAACUACGUG